Molecule: ribosomal RNA, 253 nt
Filed under: Blautia luti
Lineage: Bacteria; Bacillati; Bacillota; Clostridia; Lachnospirales; Lachnospiraceae
Description: partial 16S ribosomal RNA
Rfam family: Bacterial small subunit ribosomal RNA
Source: RNAcentral
UACGUAGGGGGCAAGCGUUAUCCGGAUUUACUGGGCGUAAAGGGAGCGUAGACGGAUGGACAAGUCUGAUGUGAAAGGCUGGGGCUCAACCCCGGGACUGCAUUGGAAACUGCCCGUCUUGAGUGCCGGAGAGGUAAGCGGAAUUCCUAGUGUAGCGGUGAAAUGCGUAGAUAUUAGGAGGAACACCAGUGGCGAAGGCGGCUUACUGGACGGUAACUGACGUUGAGGCUCGAAAGCGUGGGGAGCAAACAGG